AAGGAGCACAUCUCGGGGCAGUACCACCCACACAGGUGGGAGGGAACCCCCGCAGAGACCACGCCGACCACAUUCGUUGGUCGGGUGGACGCUCAUGGGUGGAACACUGACAACCAGAGCCGGCAACAACGGUCACGCUCAGUCGUGACCAGCCGGCACUAUAUCGAUGCACUGUUGGGUCCUGAGAGAACACGCGAGUGUUUCUUUCUAGGCAAGAAUGGAUCUCCUUCGGAUGUCUGGCAUACCGCGCCUUCGGGUGGGCAUGGUGCAGAUGGGAGUUCGAAGGGGGUGUGUUGUUUGAGAACUGCACAGUGGACGCGAGCAUCUUUGUU
Molecule: unclassified non-coding RNA, 332 nt
Filed under: Rhodococcoides corynebacterioides
Lineage: Bacteria; Bacillati; Actinomycetota; Actinomycetes; Mycobacteriales; Nocardiaceae
Description: Rhodococcus corynebacterioides 16S-23S ribosomal RNA intergenic spacer region
Source: RNAcentral